CCCUUAGAUGUUCUGGGCCGCACGCGUGCUACACUGAGUGGAUCAGCGGGUCAGGUUGCGCGAAAGUGUUUCCUAAUCUUUAAAUCCGCUCGUGAUGGGGAUUGGCGGUUGCAAUUUUCCGUCAUGAACGAGGAAUACCUUGUAAGCGCGGGUCAUCAUCCCGCGCUGAAUACGUCCCUGCCCUUUGUACACACCGCCCGUCGCUCCUACCGAUUGAGUGGUCCGGUGAGGCUUUGGGAUCUGAGCGGAAAGAGCGUUUCGCUGUUUCUGCCAGGAAAACUCAGUCGAACCUUAUCAUUUAGAGGAAGGAGAAGUCGUAACA
Molecule: ribosomal RNA, 322 nt
Filed under: uncultured eukaryote
Lineage: Eukaryota
Description: partial 18S ribosomal RNA
Rfam family: Eukaryotic small subunit ribosomal RNA
Source: RNAcentral